Molecule: ribosomal RNA, 481 nt
Filed under: uncultured bacterium
Lineage: Bacteria
Description: partial 16S ribosomal RNA
Rfam family: Bacterial small subunit ribosomal RNA
Source: RNAcentral
GAUGAACGCUGGCGGCGUGCUUAACACAUGCAAGUCGAACGAAGCACUUUAUUUGAUUUCCUUCGGGACUGAUUAUUUUGUGACUGAGUGGCGGACGGGUGAGUAACGCGUGGGUAACCUGCCUUGUACAGGGGGAUAACAGUUGGAAACGGCUGCUAAUACCGCAUAAGCGCACGGCAUCACAUGAUGCAGUGUGAAAAACUCCGGUGGUAUAAGAUGGACCCGCGUUGGAUUAGCUAGUUGGUGAGGUAACGGCCCACCAAGGCGACGAUCCAUAGCCGACCUGAGAGGGUGACCGGCCACAUUGGGACUGAGACACGGCCCAAACUCCUACGGGAGGCAGCAGUGGGGAAUAUUGCACAAUGGGCGAAAGCCUGAUGCAGCGACGCCGCGUGAGCGAAGAAGUAUUUCGGUAUGUAAAGCUCUAUCAGCAGGGAAGAUAAUGACGGUACCUGACGAAGAAGCACCGGCUAAAUACGUG